AAUGACUUGUUGAUGUAAGUGACUGAUGGAGGAGGUGGAGAGGGAGGUGACUGAUGGAGGAGAGGGAGGAGAAGAGGGAGGUGACUGAUGGAGGAGGAGAGGGAGGUGACUGAUGGAGGAGGUGGAGAGGGAGGAGGAGAGGGAGGUGACUGAUGGAGGAGGUGGAGAGGGAGGAUAAGAGGGAGGUGACUGAUGGAGGAGAGGGAGGUGACUGAUGGAGGAGGUGGAGAGGGAGGAGAAGAGGGAGGUGACUGAUGGAGGAGGUGGAGAGGGAGGUGACUGAUGGAGGAGGUGGAGAGGGAGGAGAAGAGGGAGGUGACUGAUGGAGGAGGUGGAGAGGGAGGUGACUGAUGGAGGAGGUGGAGAUGGAGGUGACUGAUGGAGGAGGUGAGGGAGGUGACUGAUGGCGGAGGUGGAGAGGGAGGUGACUGAUGGCGGAGGUGGAGAGGGAGGUGACUGAUGGAGGAGGAGAGGGAGGUGACUGAUGGAGGAGGUGGAGAGGGAGGUGACUGAUGGCAUAGGAGGAGAGAGGGAGGCUUUGAUUUAUUUUGAUUUAUAGAUGUUUAUUAUUUAUUUUUCUAUUUAAUUUUAAUAUUGCAGUGUGCUAAAAGGGAGCGGGCA
This is a long non-coding RNA of Clupea harengus (Atlantic herring), 621 nucleotides long. The record is from Ensembl. NCBI's taxonomy places the organism in Eukaryota, Metazoa, Chordata, Actinopteri, Clupeiformes, Clupeidae.